RNAcentral lists this long non-coding RNA (288 nucleotides) under Elaeis guineensis (African oil palm). Its description in RNAcentral is "long non-coding RNA (EGUI_LNC055575)". Lineage: Eukaryota; Viridiplantae; Streptophyta; Magnoliopsida; Arecales; Arecaceae. The record is from RNAcentral.
GAUGGAGGGUGAUGUGAGCUAUCACACAUAAUUUUAAUCCCACAAAAAGUAAUAUUUUCUUUCUGCCCAUGCCAACACUUGUACGCAGAACCUGUUUUGCACCAAGAGUCCACCACAACUUGGACUCUUCAUAAUUGGUGUUAACAUGGGAUGUGGUGCCCCAAUUUAGAUUUCUUCCAGGUGAUAUGACCUGAUCCAAAUGUCUACCAAAUUGGGCUAGCUAAUUAGCAAGGGAUGGGACCAAAUUGGUCUCCGAAGGAGCAAGGAUUUCCAUACGUACUAGCACGC